This is a long non-coding RNA of Photinus pyralis (common eastern firefly), 959 nucleotides long. RefSeq lists it as uncharacterized. NCBI's taxonomy places the organism in Eukaryota, Metazoa, Arthropoda, Insecta, Coleoptera, Lampyridae. The transcript is spliced from 3 exons. The record is from RefSeq and is a predicted model, not a curated record.
CAAGAUAUAUAGAGACUGGUAGGCGCGCUUAUACCUGUAAAAUUUGACGCCAAAUGCGGCGCUAGGUAAACUCAAUCCAUAGAUGGCGCCAGGGUGAUCAGUGUACUUCAAAUGAAUGUCAUUUAAAUUGUUUUAGGUUAUGAUGUUAUGACCAAAAAUUUUGUACUUAGCGACUUGGUGUGGUUUGGCAUCUACAGUGUGUUAUACCUAGUUAUUAUUGCAAACAAUUUCGGUAAAUAAAAUAGACAAAGGAAUGGGGGGUUCCACUGAAAAGGAUACUCGUUAUCACAGUAAAUAGUAGCGCAAUACCUGCAUUACAGACUUCUCACCUCGCCUAGCUGUCGGAGCUUGUACUGGAUCAAGCGAAGUCAACAGGUCAUUGAUCAAUGUAAACCAUGUGAACAAACCAGGAGCCACCCUUCGUAUAUUAAGAGAAGCAUCAAAUGACCCUCACCUACACAAUCUACAGUGUAAGCAAUCAUGCCGAGAGAUAGAUUCUCGGCUGCUGAGAUGUGGAUUAGAGGAACUAGCAAAAGUCUACAUUAUUACUGUUAAGAUGGAAGGUAGGGGACCCGACUUGUUCAACCUACCUUGUUAUUUUAUAACUUAAUCUCGGAAGCUCCAGGGAUCUAAAUUCUUGAUAGAAGGGGACUAGUGCAAUAACUUUAACCAACUUCCGUUCCAGGAGUGUGGCAGUGCUGGAGGCUGAACUACAAAACGGAAGUAGGAAAAUGUGGCUUAUCCUAACCUUAGUCAACUUCCCAUCUAACGCCUCUGCAAAACGACCAACUUCGGACUUCAGAAGAAUGACAAUCACUCCCAUCACAGUGUGUGGGAAACACAACUACACUACACUUCUGCACAGCUUCCUUGCCGUCGGUCUCAUGCCGAGUACAAUUACUUAGUUGUCGCUCUCCUACUUUCCAUGGAAAUUUAAAAUACAGAUGCGUUAAAACAUA